GAUGAACGCUNGCGGGAGGCCUAAUACAUGCNAGUCGAACGGUAACAGGGUAGCAAUACUGCUGACGAGUGGCGCACGGGUGAGUAACACGUACACAAUCUGCCUUAUACUGGAGCAUAGCCUUGGGAAACUAAGAUUAACUCUCCAUAACAUAGUGAAGCGGCAUCGCUUUACUAUUAAAUCUCCGGAGGUAUAAGAUGAGUGUGCGUCUGAUUAGCUAGUUGGUAAGGUAACGGCUUACCAAGGCAACGAUCAGUAGCUGGUCUGAGAGGAUGAUCAGCCACACGGGCACUGAGACACGGGCCCGACUCCUACGGGAGGCAGCAGUAGGGAAUAUUGGACAAUGGGCGCAAGCCUGAUCCAGCCAUCCCGCGUGAAGGAUUAAGGCCCUAUGGGUUGUAAACUUCUUUUCUCUGGGAAUAAAAAGUGGGAUUUAUCCUGCCUUGAAGGUACCAGAGGAAUAAGCACCGGCUAACUCCGUGCCAGCAGCCGCGGUAAUACGGAGGGUGCAAGCGUUAUCCGGAUUCACUGGGUUUAAAGGGUGCGUAGGUGGCUUUGUAAGUCAGUGGUGAAAGCCCGGAGCUCAACUCCGGAACUGCCAUUGAUACUGCUUAGCUUGAAUCACGUCGAGGUGGAUGGAAUAUUACAUGUAGCGGUGAAAUGCUUAGAUAUGUAAUAGAACACCGAUUGCGAAGGCAGUUCACUAGGCGUGUAUUGACACUGAGGCACGAAAGCGUGGGGAUCAAACAGGAUUAGAUACCCUGGUAGUCCACGCCCUAAACGAUGUAAACUCGACGUUAGCGAUAUACAGUUAGCGUCCAAGCGAAAGCGUUAAGUUUACCACCUGGGAAGUACGACCGCAAGGUUG
RNAcentral lists this ribosomal RNA (868 nucleotides) under uncultured bacterium. RNAcentral's name for it is "bacterial SSU rRNA". It matches the Rfam family "Bacterial small subunit ribosomal RNA", at positions 28 to 896 of the family's 1533-position model. The record is from RNAcentral.